UGGGGCGUCGCCAAGCGGUAAGGCAUCGGGCUUUGGUCCCGACAUACGCAGGUUCGAUCCCUGCCGCCCCAUCCA
RNAcentral lists this transfer RNA (75 nucleotides) under Mesorhizobium amorphae. RNAcentral's name for it is "tRNA-Gln". It matches the Rfam family "tRNA". Rfam says of the family: Transfer RNA (tRNA) molecules are approximately 80 nucleotides in length. Lineage: Bacteria; Pseudomonadati; Pseudomonadota; Alphaproteobacteria; Hyphomicrobiales; Phyllobacteriaceae. The record is from RNAcentral.